Molecule: ribosomal RNA, 392 nt
Filed under: uncultured bacterium
Lineage: Bacteria
Description: partial 16S ribosomal RNA
Rfam family: Bacterial small subunit ribosomal RNA
Source: RNAcentral
AUACGGAGGAUGCAAGCGUUAUCCGGAUUUAUUGGGUUUAAAGGGAGCGUAGGCGGGAGCUUAAGUCAGCGGUUAAAUGGUGCGGCUCAACCGUGCCCUGCCGUUGAAACUGGGUUUCUUGAGAGUGCAAGAGGCGGAUGGAAUUCAUGGUGUAGCGGUGAAAUGCUUAGAUAUCAUGAAGAACUCCGAUUGCGAAGGCAGUCCGCUGGGGCACGUCUGACGCUGAUGCUCGAAGGUGCGGGAAUCAAACAGGAUUAGAUACCCUGGUAGUCCGCACGGUAAACGAUGAUUACCCGCUGUCGGCGGCAGACAGUCGGCGGCCAAGCGAGAGCGAUAAGUAAUCCACCUGGGGAGUACGCCGGCAACGGUGAAACUCAAAUGAAUUGGCGGGG